GCCGCUGCGACUGUUUAUUAAAAACACAGCACUCUGCAAACACGAAAGUGGACGUAUAGGGUGUGACGCCUGCCCGGUGCCGGAAGGUUAAUUGAUGGGGUUAGCGCAAGCGAAGCUCUUGAUCGAAGCCCCGGUAAACGGCGGCCGUAACUAUAACGGUCCUAAGGUAGCGAAAUUCCUUGUCGGGUAAGUUCCGACCUGCACGAAUGGCGUAACGAUGGCGGCGCUGUCUCCACCCGAGACUCAGUGAAAUUGAAAUCGCUGUGAAGAUGCAGUGUAUCCGCGGCUAGACGGAAAGACCCCGUGAACCUUUACUGUAGCUUUGCACUGGACUUUGAGCCUGCUUGUGUAGGAUAGGUGGGAGGCUUUGAAGCGUGGACGCCAGUUCGCGUGGAGCCAUCCUUGAAAUACCACCCUGGCAUGCUUGAGGUUCUAACUCUGGUCCGUGAUCCGGAUCGAGGACAGUGUAUGGUGGGCAGUUUGACUGGGGCGGUCUCCUCCUAAAGAGUAACGGAGGAGUACGAAGGUGCGCUCAGACCGGUCGGAAAUCGGUCGUAGAGUAUAAAGGCAAAAGCGCGCUUGACUGCGAGACAGACACGUCGAGCAGGUACGAAAGUAGGUCUUAGUGAUCCGGUGGUUCUGUAUGGAAGGGCCAUCGCUCAACGGAUAAAAGGUACUCCGGGGAUAACAGGCUGAUACCGCCCAAGAGUUCAUAUCGACGGCGGUGUUUGGCACCUCGAUGUCGGCUCAUCACAUCCUGGGGCUGAAGCCGGUCCCAAGGGUAUGGCUGUUCGCCAUUUAAAGUGGUACGCGAGCUGGGUUUAGAACGUCGUGAGACAGUUCGGUCCCUAUCUGCCGUGGACGUUUGAGAUUUGAGAGGGGCUGCUCCUAGUACGAGAGGACCGGAGUGGACGAACCUCUGGUGUUCCGGUUGUCACGCCAGUGGCAUUGCCGGGUAGCUAUGUUCGGAAAAGAUAACCGCUGAAAGCAUCUAAGCGGGAAACUUGCCUCAAGAUGAGAUCUCACUGGGAACUUGAUUCCCCUGAAGGGCCGUCGAAGACUACGACGUUGAUAGGCUGGGUGUGUAAGCGUUGUGAGGCGUUGAGCUAACCAGUACUAAUUGCCCGUGAGGCUUGACCA
Molecule: ribosomal RNA, 1140 nt
Filed under: Pseudomonas aeruginosa
Lineage: Bacteria; Pseudomonadati; Pseudomonadota; Gammaproteobacteria; Pseudomonadales; Pseudomonadaceae
Description: partial 23S ribosomal RNA
Rfam family: Bacterial large subunit ribosomal RNA
Source: RNAcentral